Molecule: ribosomal RNA, 440 nt
Filed under: uncultured bacterium
Lineage: Bacteria
Description: partial 16S ribosomal RNA
Rfam family: Bacterial small subunit ribosomal RNA
Source: RNAcentral
CCUACGGGAGGCAGCAGUGGGGAAUAUUGCACAAUGGGGGAAACCCUGAUGCAGCGACGCCGCGUGAGUGAAGAAGUAAUUCGUUAUGUAAAGCUCUAUCAGCAGGGAAGAAAAUGACGGUACCUGAGUAAGAAGCCCCGGCUAACUACGUGCCAGCAGCCGCGGUAAUACGUAGGAGGCAAGCGUUAUCCGGAUUUACUGGGUGUAAAGGGGGCGUAGGCGGCUGUGCAAGUCUGGAGUGAAAGGCGGGGGCUCAACCCGCGGACUGCUCUGGAAACUGUACGGCUGGAGUGCAGGAGAGGUAGGUGGAAUGCCUGGUGUAGCGGUGAAAUGCGUAGAUAUUAGGAGGAACACCGGUGGCGAAGGCGGCUUACUGGACUGUAACUGACGUUGAUGCUCGAAAGCGUGGGGAGCAAACAGGAUUAGAUACCCCGGUAGUC